GAGAGAGAGAGAGAGAGAGAGAGAGAGAGAGAGAGAGAGAGAGAGAGAGAGAGAGAGGGAGGUAGUAGAAAAGCAAAGCCACACACUUUGAUAAGGCUGAGCAAGAUUCGCCUAAAAUGGAUUGACUAACCUAAUAGUAGGGCGACAUCGCAUAGAAAGAAGAGACAUAAAAAAAGAACACAAUGACAUGUGAGGGCGAAAAGGUAAAACCGUCACAUUAUUGUUCAUGAGGACUUAAACGUUUUAGUAUAUAUAGAGAAGAAUUGUAAAAGAUUUUAGAGUUGAUGAACUAAAGUUAUUUUUGACGAAUCAACCAAAAAAAUAUCAUUAAUUUAAACAAUUAUUCAUACUUCAAAAGUUGUUAUUCCUAUGUUUAAAAUCAUGGAAUGAGUCGUCGGUGAGCCGUGGCGUGGUUGGUUAAGGUGGUUAACUAACAACUUUGACGUCAUGGGUUCAAAUCUCAUUGACAUAUGACAUAUGUAGGGUGUGUGAGUUAUUUAAUAAAAAGUUAAAAAAAAAAAAUCAUGGAAGGAGUACUAAGAGCAUCUCUAACAGCUUUUAUAUUAAUUCUCUAUUCUAGAUGAGGAUAUCACAAAGUCUCUAAAAGAAAAGGACCUCAACUUCAACAGCUAAUCUAUUCUAUUGUACAAAAUUAAAUAUUUUUCUGUAUAAUUUAUGAAUAUAUAUAAUUAUUAUUUAUUUAUUCAAAUCAAACCCUACCCUAAAACUCAUGUCAAAUGUUUUAAUUUUAUGACAUUUUUUGUUUUUGAGGAGAGAGAAUAAAUUCUAAAAGGCAAGUAAUAAAUUUUAGAGAUUUCUUCAUGAAUAUACAAAUUUUGAGAAUUCUAUAGAUAUAGAGGAUCUGUUUCUAUCUUUUCUCACUUUUGUAUAAUAGAAGAUGUUUUACAUGAACUUGUUAGAGCCAAAAAAUAGUGUUUUUCCUUUAAAAUAGAUAUAAUUCUAGUUUUACAUGAGCUGUUGGAGAUAUUCUAAUGGAUAGAGAAACGAACAUAUCAAGAAGACAAAAACAAUCACUCAGUGAACAUGAACAAUAAAAUAAGGAGAGACAAAGAACAUAUUAAUUGUUUAUACAGUAAAAUUUUGAUACUGAAGUAAGACUAGUACUUGAGUCGUGUUAAAAAAAGUCAGUUUAAGCGGUGCCUAAUUGCUGCCGUCCCUAGUUGGAAGAGAAAAUCAAUUAGAAUUCAUGGCGACAAUUAUGAGGUCCUAAGCGGGUUUGAGCAGUCCAUGGAAACAUCUAUAAGUCACUUCUAUGAGUUAUUUCCCUCUGUCU
Molecule: long non-coding RNA, 1294 nt
Filed under: Fragaria vesca (wild strawberry)
Lineage: Eukaryota; Viridiplantae; Streptophyta; Magnoliopsida; Rosales; Rosaceae
Description: long non-coding RNA (FVES_LNC004243)
Source: RNAcentral